This 461-nucleotide long non-coding RNA is filed under the name Bos taurus (domestic cattle). RNAcentral describes it as "long non-coding RNA NONBTAT022331". The record is from RNAcentral. Lineage: Eukaryota; Metazoa; Chordata; Mammalia; Artiodactyla; Bovidae.
CAUUGAUGUAUUUGAUUUGACAGUGAAAGAGAGAGUUCUCUCAUACAUAUUCAUACUUGGUAUCAAUCUUUGAUAUUUAAAUUUUUUGUAGUUAGAUUUUCAGCAUAGAAUAGUGAAGAAAAUUCGGUAAUUAUUUUGUUUAGUGCGGAAUUCAUGGUAAAACUUUGAUUAGAAUUAUGACAUGAGAUUAGCAUAGUAGUGUACAUUAUUAUAAAACUGAGUUCUGAGUUCACUUAUAAAAUAUUUAUUGAGUGCCUAUUCCAUCAGUACUCUAGAUACUAAUAACAUUGAUUACCUUGGGCACAUAGUUUUCUAAGGUCUUUAUUUCCUCAUUUGUCAAAUUUAAGAUUGAAGCAGGUCUCACUUUAUAGCUUAAUGCUGUAUGUCUAAAACUACCACUAUUUUGUCAUUUUUUAUGUAAUUGAAAGUCAUAAGGUUUAUUGUAAUUUUACUCAACUAUU